AUGCCUGAAGGAUCAGAUGCAUCUUGGACUCAAAAACUAUGUACCAAUUUAGGUGGAAUGGAUUUUACAAUUAAACAUUUCGCUGGUGAUGUCAAAUAUUCUUCAGACGGAUUUUUGGACAAAAAUAAAGAUACAGUUUUUGAAGAUCAAGUGUGUAUUUACAGUAUAAUUUUAUUUAAUAUUGUAUCCAAACAUUUUUCAUUUUAUAAUAUAUAUUUAUUUUAG
Molecule: unclassified non-coding RNA, 225 nt
Filed under: Acyrthosiphon pisum (pea aphid)
Lineage: Eukaryota; Metazoa; Arthropoda; Insecta; Hemiptera; Aphididae
Description: myosin-2B-like, transcript variant X2
Source: RNAcentral